Molecule: ribosomal RNA, 216 nt
Filed under: uncultured bacterium
Lineage: Bacteria
Description: partial 16S ribosomal RNA
Rfam family: Bacterial small subunit ribosomal RNA
Source: RNAcentral
GACCUCAGUUCGGAUUGAAGGCUGAAAUUCGCCUUCAUGAAGUCGGAAUUGCUAGUAAUGGCAGGUCAGCAUACUGCCGUGAAUACGUUCCCGGGCCUUGUACACACCGCCCGUCACACCAUGAGAGUUGGAGAUACCCGAAGCCUAUGAGCUAACUUUUAGAGGCAGUAGUCGAAGGUAGAAUCAAUGAUUGGGGUGAAGUCGUAACAAGGUAUC